Molecule: long non-coding RNA, 217 nt
Organism: Dipodomys spectabilis (banner-tailed kangaroo rat)
Lineage: Eukaryota; Metazoa; Chordata; Mammalia; Rodentia; Heteromyidae
Exons: 3
Source: RefSeq, a predicted model, not a curated record
UUGGCUUUGAAGUGCAAUCCUUCAGAUCUCAGCUUCCUGAGUAGCUAGGAUUACAGGUGUGAGCUAACAAUGUCUGGCAAGGUGAUUUUGUUUUAAGUGAGAUACAAAUACUGAUUGAUCCUCUUAACAUUUAACCCUAAAUUAAGCAUCAAAAUUUUUUAACCUGAUACAGUUCCUCACAUUGUCAACAUAAUAGAAACUAAGGAACAGAAGAAAC